This 433-nucleotide ribosomal RNA is filed under the name uncultured bacterium. RNAcentral's name for it is "partial 16S ribosomal RNA". It matches the Rfam family "Bacterial small subunit ribosomal RNA", at positions 29 to 507 of the family's 1533-position model. The record is from RNAcentral.
AACGAACGCUGGCGGCAUGCCUAACACAUGCAAGUCGAACGAUGCCUUCGGGCAUAGUGGCGCACGGGUGCGUAACGCGUGGGAAUCUGCCUUUCGGUUCGGAAUAACUCAGGGAAACUUGAGCUAAUACCGGAUAACGUCGCAAGACCAAAGAUUUAUCACCGAAAGAUGAGCCCGCGUAGGAUUAGCUAGUUGGUGAGGUAAAGGCUCACCAAGGCGACGAUCCUUAGCUGGUCUGAGAGGAUGAUCAGCCACACUGGGACUGAGACACGGCCCAGACUCCUACGGGAGGCAGCAGUGGGGAAUAUUGGACAAUGGGCGAAAGCCUGAUCCAGCAAUGCCGCGUGAGUGAGGAAGGCCUUAGGGUUGUAAAGCUCUUUUACCCGGGAAGAUAAUGACGGUACCGGGAGAAUAAGCCCCGGCUAACUCCGUG